RNAcentral lists this ribosomal RNA (313 nucleotides) under uncultured Bacteroidales bacterium. RNAcentral's name for it is "partial 16S ribosomal RNA". Lineage: Bacteria; Pseudomonadati; Bacteroidota; Bacteroidia; Bacteroidales. The record is from RNAcentral.
GGAGUCUGGUCCGUGUCUCAGUACCAGUGUGGGGGACCUUCCUCUCAGAACCCCUAAGGAUCGAUGGCACGGUGGGCCGUUACCCCGCCGUCUACCUAAUGGCACGCGAGCCGAUCCGUAUGCAAUAAAUCUUUCAACAAAUCCUCAUGCGGGAAUUUGUGUUACGGGGUAUUACGCGACGUUUCCAUCGACUAUCCCCCACAUACGGGCACGUUGCUCACGCGUUACUCACCCUUUCGCCGGUCGCCGCCAGGUAUUGCUACCCGCGCUGCCCCUCGACUUGCAUGUGUUAAGCCUGCCGCUAGCGUUCAUC